CAUGGGUUCAGCCCAUCACUCCAGCACCGCUGCUCCGCACGUGGCUGGCAGGGCCCCAGGCAGCCACCAAGCUGGGCCCAGUCCUACGCGGUGCCAUGGCCGAGCCGCUCGCUGCACCUGCGCUCCGCGGUCAGGGAACCCCCGUUACGGUGAGGCGCGGUCCCGGCCGACCCGGCGGGUAUCGCUGACAGCCGCGGCGCCGCUCCCGGAGGCGGCCGAUCCGCGCCGCGCUGCGCGCUGACCCCGCG
RNAcentral lists this long non-coding RNA (248 nucleotides) under Gallus gallus (chicken). The record is from RNAcentral. Lineage: Eukaryota; Metazoa; Chordata; Aves; Galliformes; Phasianidae.